AGAAACUUAGGUUAAACGUAAACCAAGAGCCUUCAAAGCCCUAAACAGAGAAGAAAAACACCCUCUAGUUUCUG
RNAcentral lists this transfer RNA (74 nucleotides) under Bavayia endemia. RNAcentral describes it as "tRNA-Trp". It matches the Rfam family "tRNA". From Rfam's summary of the family: Transfer RNA (tRNA) molecules are approximately 80 nucleotides in length. Their secondary structure includes four short double-helical elements and three loops (D, anti-codon, and T loops). The record is from RNAcentral. Lineage: Eukaryota; Metazoa; Chordata; Lepidosauria; Squamata; Diplodactylidae.